RNAcentral lists this small RNA (447 nucleotides) under Vigna angularis var. angularis. RNAcentral describes it as "Non-protein coding transcript". The record is from RNAcentral. Lineage: Eukaryota; Viridiplantae; Streptophyta; Magnoliopsida; Fabales; Fabaceae.
CUCGAACUCUUGUCUACACUAUCUAAAGAAUCUCCUAUAACCAUGGCUGCAAUUAAACUCUCGAUUUGUUUGCUUUUAUGCCUUAUUGGGGCAGCUUCUGGUGGUUCUGCUAAUAAGUUACGCCCAGACUUUUAUAAUUUACAAUGUCCCCUGGCACUUCAAAUCAUUAGGGAAGAAGUAACCACUGCUUUGAAGAAGGAACCUACCAUGGGUUUAGCCUUCUUCAGUCUUCAUUUCACUGAUUGCUUUGUUCAAGGAUGCGAUGCAUCAAUUCUGCUAAAAGACACACAAAAUUUCACGGGCGAACAAAGUGCUGUUCCCGAUGCUGGUUCUACAAAUGGCACGGAUAUUAUAGAGAAGAUAAAGGGUAGACUGGAAAAACUGUGCCCUGGUGUUGUUUCUUGCGCUGACAUUGUAGCUGUUGCUGCAAGAGAUUCUGUUGUUGCU